Molecule: transfer RNA, 72 nt
Filed under: Sphaerodactylus townsendi
Lineage: Eukaryota; Metazoa; Chordata; Lepidosauria; Squamata; Sphaerodactylidae
Description: tRNA-Ala
Source: RNAcentral
GAGGGUGUGGCUCAGUGGUAGAGCAAUUGCUUGGCAUGCUGCAAGUUCCAGGUUCAAUAUCGGUCAUCUGCA